This is a non-coding RNA of Podarcis lilfordi (Lilford's wall lizard), 138 nucleotides long. Lineage: Eukaryota; Metazoa; Chordata; Lepidosauria; Squamata; Lacertidae. The record is from the annotation of a GenBank genome assembly.
CUUCCAGUAGCACCUUAGAGACCAACUAAGUUUGUUAUUGGUAUGAGCUUUUGUGUGCAUGAACGAAAGCUUUUUGUGUUUUAGACGAAAGCUCAUACCAAUAACAAACUUAGUUGGUCUCUAAGGUGCUACUGGAAG